CAGGCCGGAGGGUAAAAGGGAAGCAGGUGAAAAUCCUGCACGAUCUCGUCACUGUAAUGGAGGAGCGGUAUGCCAUCCGCAAGGGAGCGAUUCCCCGCGCGGCGUCACUGAGCAAUCGGGAAGGCUGCCAUACCGCAUGGAUCCCUGAGUCAGGAAACCUGCCGUUUUUGCU
Molecule: non-coding RNA, 172 nt
Filed under: bovine gut metagenome
Source: RNAcentral